GAAAUUUAUCUUUCCUGCAGAGUGUGAGAGCAUUGGGUAUAUUUGAGUUAUGAGAAAGUGAGUUUUCUUUACUCAAAUAUUUGUACUCUAUUAAUUGUUAAAUAAACAAUUAUUCUUUCUUGCCUCCGUGGAUGUAGGUUUAAUUACCGAACCACGUAAAAUUUGUGUCCUUUAUUUUUCAGUAAUUAUUUGGUGCGCUUAAUUCCGCAUUCCGCGCACAACAAGUGGUAUCAGAGCCGACGGUUCGUACUUGGGGGAUACGAUACUAUUCAC
RNAcentral lists this long non-coding RNA (273 nucleotides) under Citrus sinensis (sweet orange). Its description in RNAcentral is "long non-coding RNA (CSIN_LNC001181)". Lineage: Eukaryota; Viridiplantae; Streptophyta; Magnoliopsida; Sapindales; Rutaceae. The record is from RNAcentral.